GCCCCGACACGGGCGCGAACCAGGGACCUUCUGCACACAUCAACAACGGUCGCCCACGAAGCAUCGUUACCCAUCGCUCCACAAAGGCCGCGAUUUGAAAUACAUAUAUUAAUUACUUCAGAGUAUUUUGUCAUUUGAAUGACACUACACACUCUAAAAAUUUGCAGCUCAACAAGGGUUCUUUUAAGAUCCUGAAAGUUCGUUGAACUUGGCACUAAAAAUUGCCUCCAAUAGGUUCUUCCAAGAACCCCAUAGAAGGUGGGGUUAAUCCUUAGUUGGUGGUGGCUCUUGGAGGAACCUAACUGCCCAACUGAAACAUUUGGAUUUGAAAGGACAGCAGGUGCAGGCACUUAACUGAAACAUGUAAAGAUCUCCUCAAUCUAAGCUCUUCAAUGACUAUCCCAUAGGCCUCUACAUUAUGGACAAGACUUCACCCUCCCUACACCUCAUGCAUUUAACAGGAAACCUGUUCACCAUGCACUGCAAAAUAAUUCUGGCUGUGGAUACGGAGAAC
Long non-coding RNA from Salvelinus fontinalis (brook trout), 514 nucleotides. RefSeq lists it as uncharacterized. The record is from RefSeq and is a predicted model, not a curated record. The transcript has 3 exons. NCBI's taxonomy places the organism in Eukaryota, Metazoa, Chordata, Actinopteri, Salmoniformes, Salmonidae.